UCUUGCGCAAUGGCCGAAAGGCUGACGCAGCGACGCCGCGUGCGGGAGGACGCUUUUCGGAGUGUAAACCGCUGUCGGGUGGGACGAAGGUCCCGGGGAGGAAAUGCCCUGGGGAUGACGGUACCGCCAGAGGAAGCACCGGCUAACUCCGUGCCAGCAGCCGCGGUAAUACGGAGGGUGCGAGCGUUGUUCGGAAUUAUUGGGCGUAAAGCGCACGUAGGCGGCCUUGUAAGUCUCACUGUGAAAGCCCGGGGCUCAACCCCGGGAGGCCAGGGGAUACUGCGAGGCUAGAGACAAGUAGAGGUUGGUAGAAUUCCGGGUGUAGCGGUGGAAUGCGUAGAGAUCCGGAGGAAUACCAGAGGCGAAGGCGGCCAACUGGACUUGUUCUGACGCUGAGGUGCGAAAGCGUGGGGAGCGAACA
RNAcentral lists this ribosomal RNA (421 nucleotides) under uncultured bacterium. RNAcentral's name for it is "bacterial SSU rRNA". It matches the Rfam family "Bacterial small subunit ribosomal RNA", at positions 362 to 774 of the family's 1533-position model. The record is from RNAcentral.